This 810-nucleotide long non-coding RNA is filed under the name Homo sapiens (human). RNAcentral describes it as "HSALNT0306402". Lineage: Eukaryota; Metazoa; Chordata; Mammalia; Primates; Hominidae. The record is from RNAcentral.
GAUCUCCUGACCUCGUGACCUGCCCAGCUCGGCCUCCCAAAGUGCUGGGAUUACAGGCAUGAGCCAUUGCGCCUAACCUCAGAAACCAUUUUUAUAACCUCAAUACCUAAUAGAAACUGGCACAUGGACUGUGUGCGAAAUGUUCAAACUUGCUCACUGGGUUAAAAAGGAUGGACAGCUUAGAGAAAAAGAAGAAAAAAAGGAAACUCGGCUGUGCGCAGUGACUCAUGCCUAUAAUGCCAGCACUUUGGGAGGCCAAGGCAACUUUGCAAAUUAAAUGGUUCACAUAUGAAGGAGCACAGCUGUAGAAGGAAAAUAAGGAAGAGAAAAUAACUUCGGAAAAUUCCCAGGACUCAUACUCUAAAGCCCCUGUGAGCUGUGACUGCAAGAGUCAGCACCUAAAUUAGAUCAACACUACAACAUCAAAAAGCCAGCUUGAUGGCACAGCGGGGAGUGAGGAAGACUCGGUGGACAAAUCUGACUGGAAAACAAGUAGGCGUUGCAGAUGAAGACCUGGAACCAUGGUAGGAAGUGGGACAGGGAGCAUUUGGACAAGCUGUUCAAGAACUGAUCAUGCUCAUGUGUAUGGGAAAACAGAUGGAGGAAGAGAAAUUCCUGAAGAGCACAAGACUGGUGGGGCAAGGAACAAGCCUACUGAGAUGAGUUGCAGAUUUGAAGAUGGGAGAAAUGGUUUCGUUGUCUACCAUGUAAAAACUCAUUUAUGCAAGAUGCUUGAUAUCUGAAUUUCAAUUUCUUCAUUAUCAAAAUGAAUAUUAAAAAUACUCUACUUCUUAGAGUUGUCAAAAAGAU